UAGCCCCCCCUUCCAAGACAUUCGGCCUCUAUCACCCAUGUCACCCAGAAGACAGCUCCCGCUCCUCCGUUUUCCUGCACGAAUAGCAUUCAGAAUCGUUCCCACACGAUGGAAUAGUCGUAUUGAAGUAAUAGAACACGAGCACAUCUUCGGUAUCUUAUCCGUUCUUUCCAAGAAAUGAAUACCUUUUUCGUUCCUAAGAUGUGGCUGAAGCACAGUCGCUACUCUUCCUGUCCUUUACGGUUUUUUCAGGUGUACUCAGGGUUCUAACCCUCUAGAGGCAAGCUCUCGCAUUUUCUUUCCUAUCUUGUCAUUGGUUUAUUUUUCUUCCUUCCCCAUCUCCCAAGUUCACAGGCCCUACGUUACCUAUGCACACAUCACCAUAAACGUGCACUCAAAGAACAAACAACAUUUGCAACUCUCGCUUUAUCUGGAGCGCACACAGCAAAAACAUACCUUGUCUCUAUAUAAAGGCUUUUCUUCUCUUGAUCUUCACACGCCGAAACCGGCAUCACUCCCAUCACCAAGUCCUUCAGGAUUCAGAAAAGUUCACCAUGAGAGUCGGUUUGGUGCUCCUUUUAGUGUUCAGCUGCUUCUGGAAUUCAGAGUCCAUCAGCAGAGCUGAUUUCCCGCCCGGAUUUUCGUUCGGAACCGCUUCUUCAGCUUACCAGGUCUUCUUAAUCAUUCGAAGGGGCAGUAAAUGAGGGAAACAAGGGCCCGAGCAUAUGGGAUACAUUCACAAGGCAACCUGGCAGAAUUUUGGACUUCAGCAAUGCAGACACAGCAGUUGAUCACUAUCACAGGUUUAAGGACGACAUCGACUUGAUGAAGGAUCUGGGAAUGGACGCUUAUAGGUUCUCGAUAUCUUGGCCGAGAAUCUAUCCAAAUGGAACAGGAGAACCAAACCCAGAUGGUCUGCAAUAUUACAACAGCCUCAUCGAUGUUUUAUUGGAAAAAGGAAUUGAGCCUUAUGUAACUCUAUAUCAUUGGGAUCUUCCGCAGAUGCUAGAAGACAAGUAUGAAGGAUGGUUAAGCCAUCAAAUAAUAAAGGAUUUCGAGAAUUAUGCCUCCACUUGCUUCCAGGCAUUUGGAGACAGAGUCAAGCGCUGGAUCACAUUCAACGAACCUCAUGAUUUCGCCAUCCAAGGUUAUGACACGGGCCUUCAGGCACCUGGAAGGUGCUCCAUUCUCGGCGGAAUUUUCUGCAGAAAGGGCAAAUCAUCAGUUGAACCUUACAUCGUGGCCCACAACAUAUUAUUGUCUCAUGCUGCUGCUUAUCACAAUUAUCAGCAGAACUUCAAGGAAAAACAAGGAGGCCAAAUUGGAAUAGCACUAGAUGCGAAAUGGUAUGAACCAAUAUCUGACAGCAGCGAGGACCAAGAUGCUGCAAGCAGAGCAAUGGAUUUCGGACUUGGAUGGUUCCUCGACCCACUUUUCUUCGGAGACUACCCAGAUUCUAUGCGAACACUUGUAGGAGAAAGACUACCCGAGAUUUCACUCGAAAUGUCUAAACUCCUGAGGGGCUCGUUGGAUUUUGUUGGGAUUAAUCACUACACCACACUGUAUGCACGGAAUGACAGGACAGGGAUCCGGAAACUGAUACUACAGGAUGCUUCCUCUGAUGCUGCUGUUAUAACUACAGCUUUUCGAGCGGGAGUUCCUAUAGGACAAAGAGCAGCUUCUCGAUGGCUACAUAUUGUCCCAUGGGGAAUACGAAAGUUUGCAAUAUAUGUUAGAGAUAAAUACGGGAACCCACCGGUGAUUAUAACAGAAAAUGGUAUGGAUGAGCUAAACAGACCGUAUGUAACAUUAACUAAGGCUCUACAGGAUGACAGAAGAAUCGACUAUCACAGGGAUUAUCUCUCGAAUUUAUCAGCUGCAAUAAGGGAAAAUGACUGCAAUGUCCGUGGUUACUUCACGUGGUCGCUGCUUGACAACUGGGAAUGGAACUCAGGCUACACCGUCCGCUUUGGACUUUACUAUGUGGACUACAAGAACAACCUGACAAGGAUUCCUAAAUCAUCUGCUCAUUGGUUUAAAAGUUUUCUCACAUUAGGCAGUGAACUCAGAAGUGAAAUUUAGAUUCUUUGUUAGGAAUAUAAUCGAGCCAGCAGCAUUUGUAUAGGAGAUCAUUAAGGAGAAAAUGUACUACGAAAGAAAAAAACUGCAUUGUACUAGAGCUAUCGUGCUCCGAUCACGCGUCAUAUUCAUGACAUACUGGACUGGAAUAAACGACAGUGAGGCCUGGUGAAAUGACUUUUUUUGCCAUCGUGGAAAUUUUGAAGGAUCGAGAACAGAUAUCUUCACCGACUCUCGAGAGUCGGGGUCAAACUGCUUUUCAUCUUUUCUGGGUUAUAUAGAACACAACCAUUAUCAGCGCUGCUGAGGAAGCAACAGGAGAAAAACAGCGACCACAACCAGAGCUAUAAAUUGUCUCACAGAGAGAGAGAGAGAGAGUGAGAGAGAGCGAGAGGGUGCAACA
Punica granatum (pomegranate) is the source of this 2482-nucleotide non-coding RNA. NCBI's taxonomy places the organism in Eukaryota, Viridiplantae, Streptophyta, Magnoliopsida, Myrtales, Lythraceae. The record is from RefSeq and is a predicted model, not a curated record.